CAGGAAACCCCUGACAGUGUGGUGGAACCAUCUUUCUGUGGUUCUUACACUGAAUCUGAGCCGACGUGCAUGAUGCAUCAUCAGAGGCCGAAGAAGAUGGUGGCUUUUGAAGGUGCUUUGACUGGGAGGCAUUUCCUGGGUUGUCCUAUGCAGCAGGAUGAAGGUGUGAACUGUGGGGUUGUGGAGUGGGUUGAUGGUCCUUGGCCAGAGAUUCUACAAAGGUGCCUAACCAGGAUUUGGGACAUGUAUCAUGAGCAGAACUUGGGGAGGGUGAAUGACAAACAAGCCCAUGAGAAAGAGGUGGCCAAGCUACAGAAGGAAAUUGAUUUCCUGUCAAACAACUACAUC
Molecule: ribosomal RNA, 348 nt
Filed under: Triticum aestivum (bread wheat)
Lineage: Eukaryota; Viridiplantae; Streptophyta; Magnoliopsida; Poales; Poaceae
Description: partial small subunit ribosomal RNA
Source: RNAcentral